CCUACGGGGGGCAGCAGUCGAGAAUCAUUCACAAUGGGGGAAACCCUGAUGGUGCGACGCCGCGUGGGGGAAUGAAGGUCUUCGGAUUGUAAACCCCUGUCAUGUGGGAGCAAAUUAAAAAGAUAGUACCACAAGAGGAAGAGACGGCUAACUCUGUGCAAGCAGCCGCGGUAAUAUAGAGGUCUCAGGCGUUGUUCGGAAUCACUGGGCGUAAGGCGUGCGUAGGCUGUUUCGUAAGUCGUGUGUGAAAGGCGCGGGCUCAACCCGCGGACGGCACAUGAUACUGCGAGACUAGAGUAAUGGAGGGGGAACCGGAAUUCUCGGUGUAGCAGUGAAAUGCGUAGAUAUCGAGAGGAACACUCGUGGCGAAGGCGGGUUCCUGGACAUUAACUGACGCUGAGGCACGAAGGCCAGGGGAGCGAAAGGGAUUAGAUACCCGUGUAGUC
Molecule: ribosomal RNA, 446 nt
Filed under: uncultured bacterium
Lineage: Bacteria
Description: partial 16S ribosomal RNA
Rfam family: Bacterial small subunit ribosomal RNA
Source: RNAcentral